RNA transcript from Mirounga angustirostris (Northern elephant seal), 2756 nucleotides. It is a transcript of the gene named HMG-box transcription factor 1, with no coding region annotated. Lineage: Eukaryota; Metazoa; Chordata; Mammalia; Carnivora; Phocidae. The record is from RefSeq and is a predicted model, not a curated record. The transcript has 11 exons.
GGGGGGUUGAGGGGAGGGGGGAAGACGAAGCUUGAAAGACUUGGUAAUGGCGACGGGUUUGUCGGAGCACCAUAACAUGGUGUGGGAAGUGAAGACAAAUCAGAUGCCUAAUGCAGUACAGAAACUCCUGCUGGUGAUGGACAAGCGAGCUUCAGGAAUGAAUGACUCACUGGAGUUGCUGCAGUGUAAUGAAAACUUGCCAUCCUCACCUGGAUACAACUCCUGUGAUGAGCACAUGGAGCUUGAUGACCUUCCUGAACUUCAGGCUGUUCAGAGUGAUCCUACUCAAUCUGCCAUAUACCAGCUAAGUUCAGAUGUUUCACAUCAAGAGUAUCCAAGACCAUCUUGGAACCAAAAUACCUCAGACAUAUCAGAAAAUACUUAUGGUGAAAAUGAGGUGGAUUGGCUAACAGAAUUAGCAAAUAUUGCCACCAGCCCACAGAGUCCACUUAUGCAGUGCUCGUUCUACAACAGAUCAUCUCCUGUACACAUCAUAGCUACUAGCAAAAGUUUACAUUCCUAUGCACGCCCUCCACCUGUGUCCUCUUCUAAGAGCGAGCCAGCCUUCCCUCAUCAUCACUGGAAGGAGGAAACACCAGUCAGACACGAAAGGGCAAAUAGUGAGUCAGAAUCUGGCAUUUUCUGCAUGUCCUCCCUCUCCGAUGAUGAUGAUUUGGGCUGGUGCAAUUCCUGGCCUUCAACUGCUUGGCACUGUUUUCUGAAAGGCACACGACUGUGCUUUCAUAAGGAAAGCAAAAAGGAAUGGCAGGAUGUUGAAGAUUUUGCUAGAACCGAAAGCUGUGAUAAUGAGGAAGACCUCCAAGUGGGCACUCACAAGGGCUAUGGUUCUGAUGGUCUAAAGUUGUUAUCACAUGAAGAAAGUGUAUCAUUUGGCGAGUCUGUACUGAAGUUGACUUUUGAUCCCGGUACAGAGGAAGACGGCUUACUUACUGUAGAGUGUAAGCUGGACCACCCUUUCUAUGUUAAGAAUAAAGGUUGGUCAUCAUUUUAUCCAAGCUUGACUGUGGUACAGCAUGGCAUCCCAUGUUGUGAAAUUCAUAUUGGUGAUGUAUGUCUACCUCCUGGACACCCCGAUGCCAUUAAUUUUGAUGAUUCAGGUGUUUUUGAUACAUUUAAAAGCUAUGACUUCACACCUAUGGAUUCUUCUGCAGUCUAUGUGUUAAGUAGUAUGGCUCGUCAGCGUCGUGCAUCUUUGUCUUGUGGAGGGCCUGGAGGUCAAGACUUUGCAAGAUCUGGACUCAGUAAAAACUGUGGCUCACCAGGAUCAUCACAGCUCUCUUCCAAUUCCUUGUAUGCUAAAGCUGUCAAAACCCACAGCUCAGGGACUGUGAGCGCCACUUCUCCUAACAAGUGCAAAAGACCAAUGAAUGCCUUCAUGCUUUUUGCCAAAAAAUAUAGAGUUGAAUAUACUCAGAUGUAUCCAGGGAAAGAUAACAGAGCCAUAAGCGUGAUCCUCGGCGACAGGUGGAAGAAAAUGAAGAAUGAAGAGAGAAGGAUGUAUACGUUAGAAGCAAAGGCUUUGGCUGAAGAACAAAAACGCCUAAAUCCUGACUGUUGGAAAAGGAAAAGAACCAAUUCAGUAGGUUUCAACAACUAGUUGCUCAAAAAGAUCUUGACUUCUCCCCAUAACUGAACUGGCGUGUGGAACAAUGCUUAUAUAACCUUGAAAAGGGCUCACAGCAACAUUAAGCCAGGAUGCGUAUGUUCUUAAGUCUGUAGUUGCAUAAACACUGUUGACGGAGGGACUUAAGAAGAUCGAGGUGUCACCAUUUGUCCUGAAUUCGUGUGACCAUAAGAUACUGAUAGCAUUGAGUCUUGAAAUGAUUUAAUAAUAUGAGUGAGGAUUUGCUUUUUCCAUUAGAGCAUUAAGUAAGCUAAAACUAUCAACAUUGUAAACCAAAUUGCCUUAUUUUUCUUCCAAACUUCAUAUAUGUCUAUCAGGUAAUAUAGGCUUGAAAAUUGAUAUCCUGUGGUGCUAAAGUACAGUAGAAAGAGAGGAGAGUGUAUACAUGUUUUAUUUUAAAUUGUACAAAAGGGGAAUUUAAAAAUAUGUAACUGCUGUUUAUACAUUGGCUCCUUACUGCUUAUUAAUCUGUAUUGUACACAUAGUGGAAUGAAACCGAGCCGGGAGCUGGCCUUUCCGUGAGCGACCACCGCACUGGCCCAGCAUCUGUGCCAAACCCGGGAGCUCCUGAACACGUGGCCGGUGUCGGCGUCCCAGUGUGCGCGUGCCGCCUGCCACAGGGUCCCCCGGGCACGCCGAGCCUGGCACCGGGCGGUAGCACCCAUGCAGGACUUGCGGCGGAGGCCUCGCCCGGGCCCAGGUCAAGUUAGUUAAUAGCAUUGGGAUAUAGUCACUGUCAUGGUGCUAUUAACAGUUGACACCAUUGUAUUUUUUAACUUCGUGUUCUGUAUCUCCUCAGCCACAUAUCUUAAAUAUCUUGUUUGUCAUCCUAUGUGUAUGGUGGGGGCAGACUUUGCACUUCCUGCAGUGCAACACGUGCACUUUACUUCUCCAGCUGUCUGAGGUGAGAGCACACACGUUGGCAAGACAGCUGCUUCUGCUCUGAGCUACAAUCAUGGCUUUUCAUGUUACUUACCAAGUGGUGUUUCUGGUAGGAAUCACAGCUGUAAAAUUGAUUUCAGUUCAUUACACUUCUUCAUGAUGUUGCCCCUAAAUUUUGCACACUAUAUUCUUGUAUAUUAUUUCAAAUAAAAUGAAAAAAAAAAUUGUU